RNAcentral lists this long non-coding RNA (937 nucleotides) under Equus caballus (horse). Its description in RNAcentral is "lncRNA (ENSECAG00000058601.1)". Lineage: Eukaryota; Metazoa; Chordata; Mammalia; Perissodactyla; Equidae. The record is from RNAcentral.
AGCAUCCUGUCCAAAUGCUACUGGUGCCCCAUAGGUAUGGAAUUCAGAACUCUGAGGACAGUAGUGCUGCCUGGCUGGUACUUUUGCCUCAGGAACUUGGAGGAGGUGUCACAUGGAGGUUCACCUCCUUUGUCUAGCAAAGAACCUGAAGAGCUGGGAACCAAAUACCAGCCCCUGGUGAGGCCACUGCUUCAGCUCUGGUAGGAAAGGCUUCAGUCCGGGGUAGGAAAGCAGUAUGCUUUUUUCUCGAGGUUGGAAGACUCUAUAUCAUAGGCUUCUCCGACAACUUUAGAUUGCAAACUACAGGCAUAGACCUGCCCUCUUAGCUGCCAGACUGACCAGCUGUUAUCUCCAUUCAUCUCUCUCAGAUGACGACACCAUCUAACAUGUGAAGAUUCCUGAGUAGAAAUUCUUUGUUUGAGGUGAGCAAAAUAUUCCAGAUGAACAAACUAUCUUGUGGAGGAACCAGCAGAAAACUGACAGGUGGACUUAACCACUGUGGCCGCAAAGCCUUCAGUUUCUCGUGAUAUCUUUCCCAUGUUUUUAAAAUUGUGAAUACAAGCAAAUAAGCAGAAAAGCAUGGGAUUCCUCGCCUUGCCCUGCUUGUCUCCUGUCUCCUCUCCCUACAUUGAUGAUGCUAAAGAAGGAGAUAAAGGAAGAAGAUCCUUGCUUAAGGAAGUAGCCUGGCUUGCAAGAUAAUUUUCCUAAUGUAAUAGCUUAUUUUUGAAUGGCAGAUGCCUAAUACUACCCAGUUCAUUCUAGAAAAGGCUGAUUUAUGCUGUUGUUUUGGAAGUUCAGAUUUAUUUCCAAUAUCUCAGCUUGUGCUUCCUAUUUACCAUGCUUUUUAUUUUUCUUUAUUUCUUUAUUGCCUUGUAUUGGAAUAAUUGAGUUUUCAUUAUUCCACUUUCCACGCCUCUACAGAUUUGAAAGUUAUAUG